RNAcentral lists this ribosomal RNA (397 nucleotides) under uncultured bacterium. RNAcentral's name for it is "partial 16S ribosomal RNA". It matches the Rfam family "Bacterial small subunit ribosomal RNA", at positions 360 to 775 of the family's 1533-position model. The record is from RNAcentral.
AAUAUUGCACAAUGGGGGAAACUCUGAUGCAGCGUCGCCGCGUGAGCGAUGAAGGCUUUCGAGUCGUAAAGCUCUGUCCUAGGGGACGCUAAUGACGGUACCCUAGGAGGAAGCCACGGCUAACUACGUGCCUGCCGCCGCGGUAAUACGUAGGGGGCGAGCGUUGUCCGGAAUUAUUGGGCGUAAAGGGUUCGCAGUCGGCCUGUUAAGUCAGAUGUGAAAGCCCACGGCUUAACCGUGGUAAGCAUUUGAAACUGGAAGGCUUGAGUUAAGGAGAGGAAAGUGGAAUUCCUAGUGUAGCGGUGAAAUGCGUAGAUAUUAGGAGGAAUACCAGUGGCGAAGGCGACUUUCUGGACUUAUACUGACGCUCAGGUACGAAAGCGUGGGGAGCAAACAG